RNAcentral lists this ribosomal RNA (306 nucleotides) under Triticum aestivum (bread wheat). RNAcentral's name for it is "partial small subunit ribosomal RNA". The record is from RNAcentral. Lineage: Eukaryota; Viridiplantae; Streptophyta; Magnoliopsida; Poales; Poaceae.
AUGGCGAUGGGCAAGCGGUCCUGGCAUAGUGGGAGCUCUGGUGGGAAGGACAUCAAUAGACUGCAGACCCGUCCACCGUGGUGCCACCGGUGGGGCAGAGGCAUACACUUCGAGGCUAAUGUACUAGAGCCUCCUCCAUGGCUACAUAGAGCUCCUCAAAUGGGUGAUCUGAUCUUGCACUAUCAGCGGUCGCAUUCUGACCAAAAUCUUGUGCCACAUGAAGGUAGACAGGUAGUUUUAGAGCAAGACAAAAGAUCAUUAGAAAUGCACCAUAUUACUUUUGCACAUGUCGGCUGCUCCGUCUGA